Molecule: long non-coding RNA, 2065 nt
Organism: Numida meleagris (helmeted guineafowl)
Lineage: Eukaryota; Metazoa; Chordata; Aves; Galliformes; Numididae
Exons: 3
Source: RefSeq, a predicted model, not a curated record
CGCGCGCCGCUGCCGCCCAACCGCCCCGGGCAGCGGCCCCGCCCCUGCGGGAGUGUGAGUGAGAUGGUGGCAGCGGAGGGAGAGCGUGUGUGUGAGGGAGAGAAUGGGGGAGCGCAUGUGUGAGAAUGUGUGUGUGUGGUGUGAGAGAGAAUGGGCGUGUGUGCACGAGGGUAUAAGCGUGUGAGAGAGAAUGUGUGUGUAAAUGUGUGAGAGUAUGAGUGUGUGCGGGUGUGUGCGACUGAGGCUAAAGCUCAGUGUGUGUUUAUGAGAGUGUGACUGAAUGUCACGCUGGGUGUGAUGAUGAAUGUGAACGUGCGUGAGGUGUGUGAGUGUGAUGACGUGUGGACUGAGUGACAUGUUUGUGUGAGUGUGAUGGUGUGUGUGACUGCUGUGUGUGACUGAGUGUGGAUGCGUGUGUGUGACAGGAUGUGUGAGGCUGGCAUGGCAGUGUGUAUGAGGACACGUGCAGGAGUGUGCGUUUGUGUUGGGGAGAGUCAGUGUGAGCACAGAUGUGUGUGUGUCAACACAAGUGUGCGGCGGGCAGCAUGAGUGUGAGAGAGAGCAGGCAUGUGUGCGUGCAAGGCUGUGUGAGAACUGUUGGCCCUAAUGGGAUCACCAGGCAUCCCAAAGAGGGGAAGGAAUUCCCUGACACCAGCUGCAUCCACAAGCAGCAAGGGUCUCCCAGACCUCUGUGCAAGGAUGAGAAGUACUAGAAAUAGAUGAAGCUCGUGACAAGGAUUAUUUGCAAGCACAUAGCUCGUAUAAUUCCGUGGAAUCAGGUGGUUUCUCUGGGAGAGCUGAGAGCUUGCUGAUGUCCUUAUAUUGCUGCUGUCUGCCAUCUUUGAAUAGUUGCAUUGUUCAGAGGACAUCCCCAACAAGUGGAGAAAGGCAAAUAUUGCACCUGUCUUCAAAAAAGGAACAUCAUGGAAGUCAUCAAGGAGAAAGAAGAGUGAGUCCUGGACCUGACACAGCCCUUGCACCUGUCCAGGCUGGGAUGUGUCUGAGCGGAGCAGCUCUGCUGAAAGGAGAGUGUUGGUAGGCAGCGAGCUGAAUGUGAGCCAGGGGUGUCCUCUGGCAGCAAAGAUCAACAGCAGUGUGAGCCAUUCUAGCAAGAGAAAGUCUGUAGAUUAUUACCUCCCUCUCCUUGGCAUUUGUUAGACAACAGCUAAACAGUGCCUCCAGUCUUGGGGCCCCCGUACAGAAAGACAUUGUAUAAGCUGGAGAAUGUUCAGCAGAGGGCCAGUAAGAUGACUUGGGGCUGGAGCACUUGGCCAGUGCAGAGAGGUUGAGGAAAGUGGGCGUGUUCAGCCUGAGAAGGGCUGGCUUUGAGAGGGACAUAACUGUGGCCUGGCUGCGCCUGCAAGGAGGUUAUCAGGAAGACAGAGCAGGGCUCCUCAGUGGCCCAUGUCUGGAGGAUGGGAGACAAAGGACCUAAAUGGAAACAAGAGAAAUUCAGGCUUUAGAGGUAGAAAACCUUUUUCAUUGUCAGGAACCAGAGGAAGCAGUUGCCAAGAGAUGUUUUUCAGUCUCCAUUCAGAGAGGCUUUUCGUACUCAGCUGGAUGAAGCCCUUAACAACCUGGUGCACUCUCGUAGCUGUCCCUUUGAGCAUGACUAGAGACCUUGUGGGAUCCUUUCACACCUGAGUUACUCAGUGAUUCAAUGACGCAGUAAGUCCACCAUGGAGAAAAUUAGCUGUGUCUGCAGAAGGAGAAGACAGUUCUGGCACAUACGGUUUAUCCAGUGACUUGAUAAAUAUUAAAGUACACUGAGAGCAUGGAUGAGAAUACAGGUUACACUGCUCCUAUGUGCUGUAAUAUGUUGGCUGUAGUUCCGUAUUCCCUCGUUUGCUCUCAUUUUGGCCUCAGCAGCCUUACACUCUUCGCUGUACAGCUUCAGGAGGAAUAUGUGCAUGUAUUGAAGUCUUUUAUGGCCACCAGCAAGUUUCUUGGUUUUCCAACUUUUUAGGUUUUCCUCUUUUCAUAUCUCCUUCCUACAGAAAGAGGUCCACAGAAAAAUUCGGAAAAUAAUGCUUGCCAGGUCUCUUGACAAAGUCAGUACUACUCA